Sus scrofa (pig) is the source of this 2024-nucleotide non-coding RNA. Lineage: Eukaryota; Metazoa; Chordata; Mammalia; Artiodactyla; Suidae. The record is from RefSeq and is a predicted model, not a curated record.
UAUCUACUUUAUCCACUAAAUCCCUUAGCCUAUUAAUCUUAGCUGUUUAAAUUCAUGGCCUGAUCAUUCCAAUAUUCCUGUCACAUCUGGUUCUGAUGCUCGCUCUGUCUCUGCAAACUGCAUUCCUGCCUUUUGUUAUACGCCUUGUACAUUUUUUCUUGAUAGCCAUGCAUGAUGUACCAAGUAAAAGGAACUGCUAUAAAUAGGCCUUUAGUAAUGUGGGGUGAGAUUAGGGGGAGAGGAAACUUCCCACAGCCCUAUGACUAGGUCUCAGCCUUUUAGUGAGCCUGUGCCUCUGGACUGAGAACUGCGCAAGUAUUUCUCAGGUUUUCUCUCCCGCCUUAGGUGGGACCAAAUGGCGAGAGUGGGUUGCAGUUGAGUAUCUCCUUUCUCCCACACAGAAGGCUCGAGAUGGCUAGAGCUGGCUACUUCCCUUCCCCCAAGUCACUUAGGCUCUGGUAAUACUCCAACAGGUUAGGCUCUAAUUAACUAGUCUCCCUUGAGGGCAGGCCUUGUUAAGAAAAACAAAGUAUUUAGGUAUAUUUCACAGUGGCUCCUUUCCUUCUUCUGCUGCCAGAUGUAGCACUUACUGUGGGACUCUGGUCGAACUCCUGCAGGUAAAUGUCACAACACUCCUGGGGGGUCCUCCUGGAGUUUUUACCUCUUGGACUUGUCUCCACUGAGCCUCCAGCAAUUUGUCAAUUAUACCUCAGGUUUUUCCACUCUGGUGCUGGUUUCUCUGACAGUUUCCACAUGAGACUCUCCUCUAGGCCCCAUUUCUCCAGUCUUGCGGCAGCGGAUUGCCCCAUGUCCUCGCCGCUGUCACAGCGCCAGCAAGAGUCGAAUUUUCAGUCCAUUCACUUUUCCCCUUGUUAUUAGGUCAGAGUGGCAACCACCAAGCCCCUUAACAUGCAGAACAGGAAACCUCAAGCUACAGAACUCUUAAAAACCAACUAGACUGGUCUCGGACAGGAAGCCUUCAGCUUAAGCGUUUGACCCCAGUGCUGGCACUCUGACCAAGCCAAGGCCACGUGUCGCUCUAAACCGCUCAAAAGAGAACAGUGUGCAUCCUUCUACGUAUGCCCUGGGAUUACCUACAUCUUAAAACUUUCUAGCUAGAAAGUUUCACGUAGACUUCUUUUAGAACAUGACACGUGAUAAUGGUUUUUUUAUUUCUUUCUCAUGUCACACGCUGAGAGCAUAAAGUCUACAUUCAUCUUACGUCCAGUUUACAAUGAACAUACUGCUUUUGCUAAAUGAACAAUACAAACUCUGGACUCCUCUCCUUCCCCCUUCCAUGAAGGAAUUCCAGUGCAUCAUCUUGAUUAAGUCAUAAACAGGAUAGAAAAGUAAGGAAAAACAAUGCUUUAGACAUCUAUUUUUCAAACUUGGAAAUGCCCUUUGAGUUCCACAGGUAAAGACACACAAACUCUUUCUCACUGAGCCUCUCUGAAGCCUCCACUUCUACAUCUGUAAAAGACGAUGAUAAUAAUAACCAGUAUAAACUACGAGGAGCAAAAGAGGUUAUGAAUCUACAGCUCCCAUUACGGUACAGAGGUAGCGUAGACACUCAAUAAAUUAUGACGUUCAUCUCAGCAGCAGCAGCAGCAGCAGCAACAUCACUAAACCACCGCCCAAAUCUCAGCGCACAGCAGGCAUCUACUUUGAGGAGCUCCUUUGCUGUGACCUUGUUUACGGAAUGAAGGGCCCUUCUCUGCCUUGGUCAGUGGCUCUUCACAGAAACGGAGCCCUCCCUCCAGUCCUUUGCACAAACUUCCAUCGCUGGAUGGAUCCAGAGGAAUCUCUCCGUUAUGGAUCCUGUCAACGUCUCUAACGACAGAAUGCUGCGCUGCACUGAUACAAACACCCCUUACUCCGGCCCGUCUCCUUGAUUUUAAAAAUACGUCGGAACAGACAAAUGUAAAUGAAAUCUGGAAACACAAAGCAAUUACUGAUAACUGUAAGCUACACACUUAAAAGGCACUUAAACAUUUCAUAUAAAACAAUAAAUGAAAGAUACAGUA